AAGGUCGUAACAAGGUUUCCCGUAGGUGAACCUGCGGAAGGAUCAUUAAAAAGUGAUUGGUUAUACAUUUCAUGUAUCAACUGCAUUAACCCAUUCCGAGUACCUUGCCUGUUGCUUCCAUGGGGUCCUGACCUAGGUCACUCUUGUGAUGUGAAAUCCCAAGAGAGGUCCCCCAAUUGGGAAGGUAAUCAUUAAAUUUGCAUGUAUCCAAUGUCUUCUGUCUGAACUGUUUAAAAGCAAAUUGUUAAAAU
Molecule: unclassified non-coding RNA, 251 nt
Filed under: plant metagenome
Description: partial contains small subunit ribosomal RNA and internal transcribed spacer 1
Source: RNAcentral